Molecule: ribosomal RNA, 304 nt
Filed under: uncultured Lactobacillus sp.
Lineage: Bacteria; Bacillati; Bacillota; Bacilli; Lactobacillales; Lactobacillaceae
Description: bacterial SSU rRNA
Rfam family: Bacterial small subunit ribosomal RNA
Source: RNAcentral
ACCUGCGAUGCAUUUAGCUAGUUGGUAAGGUAACAGCUUACCAAGGCGAUGAUGCAUAGCCGAGUUGAGAGACUGAUCGGCCACAUUGGGACUGAGACACGGCCCAAACUCCUACGGGAGGCAGCAGUAGGGAAUCUUCCACAAUGGACGAAAGUCUGAUGGAGCAACGCCGCGUGAGUGAAGAAGGUUUUCGGAUCGUAAAGCUCUGUUGUUGGUGAAGAAGGAUAGAGGUAGUAACUGGCCUUUAUUUGACGGUAAUCAACCAGAAAGUCACGGCUAACUAUGUGCCAGCAGCCGCGGUAAU